UGGGGAAUUUUGGACAAUGGGCGAAAGCCUGAUCCAGCAAUGCCGCGUGUGUGAAGAAGGCCUUCGGGUUGUAAAGCACUUUUGUCCGGAAAGAAAUCCUUGGCUCUAAUACAGUCGGGGGAUGACGGUACCGGAAGAAUAAGCACCGGCUAACUACGUGCCAGCAGCCGCGGUAAUACGUAGGGUGCAAGCGUUAAUCGGAAUUACUGGGCGUAAAGCGUGCGCAGGCGGUUUGCUAAGACCGAUGUGAAAUCCCCGGGCUCAACCUGGGGAACUGCAUUGGUGACUGGCAGGCUAGAGUAUGGCAGAGGGGGGUAGAAUUCCACGUGUAGCAGUGAAAUGCGUAGAGAUGUGGAGGAAUACCGAUGGCGAAGGCAGCCCCCUGGGCCAAUACUGACGCUCAUGCACGAAAGCGUGGGGAGCAAACAGGAUUAGAUACCCUGGUAGUCCACGCCCUAAACGAUGUCAACUAGUUGUUGGGGAUUCAUUUCCUUAGUAACGUAGCUAACGCGUGAAGUUGACCGCCUGGGGGAGUACGGUCGCAAGAUUAAAACUCAAAGG
Molecule: ribosomal RNA, 561 nt
Filed under: uncultured bacterium
Lineage: Bacteria
Description: partial 16S ribosomal RNA
Rfam family: Bacterial small subunit ribosomal RNA
Source: RNAcentral